RNAcentral lists this small nuclear RNA (107 nucleotides) under Homo sapiens (human). The record is from RNAcentral. Lineage: Eukaryota; Metazoa; Chordata; Mammalia; Primates; Hominidae.
GAGUUUGCUUCAGCAGCAAGUGUACUAAAAUUAAAACAAUAUAGAGAAGAUUAGCAUGAUCCCUGCACAAGUGUGACACACAAAUUUGCGAAGCAUUCUAUUUUUUU